GGUGAAGACUAUAAAGAAAGGUUGAACACUCUGAAAAUUGAUAUUUUAAAUUACACGGAGGUGUUGCUGGAAGAGGAGCUCAUGCGAACUGAGGAACUCAGGUGGACAGAUGCUGUGAAGACAGGCGGGGGGCAAAGUGUGAAAACUAUAGAGAACUAUUGAACACUCUCCAAAUAGAUAUUGUCAACUACAUGGAGGCGUUGCUAUAAGAGGAGCUCAUGAAAACAGAGGAGCUCAGGUGAGCAGAUGCUGUGGAGACAGGCGGGGGGCAUAGGUGUGAAUCUCUGAAUGCAGCACUUCAGCUGGGAGAACCAGCAGCUAAGCUGGGACAGGACUAGGACAGACGUUUACGUGGCAGGCAUGUUUCACAGCAACACUCAUAAAACAGGACAGUAAUCUUAGCACGUUACGACUUCCACUGCCUUCCACUGAGGCAGGCAUGUCUCAUUCCAGGUGAAUCAUUCUGUCAAGUUACUUGAUGUGCCAAUGAGUUUCUUUUUCCCCGUCUCUACAUUGGAGAGUAUCACAUGCCAGCGAGUUGGGAUGUUGAUCAUUAAAAAUGAGGAAAUCCCUCACUGGAGCCUGAUAAUGGAGAUGCUUUUGUCCUUGGGAUGGAUGCAGCCACCUGCCAUGUAGGCUGUGACCACAGCAGCCUGUCCCUUCCACUGAGGCCAAACUUUUGUGCAUGGCUCUGUUUCCAGUCACUGCUUGAUGCACUAUGGGAGUUUUCACAUAGAAAUGUCCACGGCUAAAGUGAGAAGCUGAAAGGACAUCCUUUUGAAACCGAUUUGGGAAGACUGACUUUCGUUUACAGAAGACAAAAAUGAAUGGAACAUCAUACAGGAUCUCACAGGAGCUCUCUCUGAUACAGAGGAAGCCUCCAUGGUUCAAGCAAUUCUCCUGUCUCCGCCUCCCGAGUAGCUGGGACUACAGGGAAUAUAAAGCCCUGACUCAAUCUCAGGCAGAGCAGCUGGCAAAGUUACAAGAAGAAAUAGAUGCCACCAAGUUACGGAAUGAGCGAUUGAAGGCCCACGUCACUCCUGAUGACCCUGGUAAGUCUCAGCGUCAGAACCUCCAAGAGCAGCUGGCUAAGGGGCACAAGCUGACAGAGCAUUAUGUCAGCAGGCUCAGCCCAGGUAAGGUGGGCACAGGCCCUGAUGACACACAGCCCCAGGCUUAUGAAAGUCCCCAGACCACCACACCUCCACAGUGA
RNAcentral lists this long non-coding RNA (1213 nucleotides) under Callithrix jacchus (white-tufted-ear marmoset). RNAcentral describes it as "lncRNA (ENSCJAG00000081568.1)". Lineage: Eukaryota; Metazoa; Chordata; Mammalia; Primates; Cebidae. The record is from RNAcentral.